This is a long non-coding RNA of Felis catus (domestic cat), 830 nucleotides long. RefSeq lists it as uncharacterized. The record is from RefSeq and is a predicted model, not a curated record. The transcript has 3 exons. NCBI's taxonomy places the organism in Eukaryota, Metazoa, Chordata, Mammalia, Carnivora, Felidae.
GACCAUGAAAACUUGGCCGAAGAGACAUUCUGAGACAAAGGGCCUCUGUGCCCAGCUGGCUCACACCCACGGAGGACAGCUCAGAGGGCUGAGGAGCAGCCUGCUGCUCAGGCCUCCAGCUGAUGACGCGAUUGGGUCCAUCUGCCAAUUGUGGAUACUUGGACAUGUUUGGCCUGAGGAAGAAUCACUCUGGACAGAUGCCCAAACCAAAGAGGCCUCAUCCAGCUGGCCUUUCCAGGUCUCAAGUGCAAACUGAUGGUACAAUCAGGCAACAUCUUGGAUAUUUUCUUUCUUACAAAUGAUGAAGUUUGCUGAGGAGACUGGAAAUAAGACCUGGGGAAUAAGAAAAGACAAAGAGAAGCAAUGGAUAAAAUGUAUGAAGAGAUGGAAAAAAUAAAACAGGAAGGAGAAGUCAAGAAGAAAAAAGAAAAGGAGAAGGAAUGGGAAGAUGACAUCUGGGGAGUUGAAGAAGAGGGAAGUGAAGAGGAUUCUGCCAAGGACCCAGGAAAUGACAGGCAGCGGAAGGAAGAUGAUGCUGAAAGUGUGUUUCUGGGUAAAAAUGAAGAAGUCUGUGUUGACCAGAAGGAUGAACUGUAAUCUGGUAAAAAAACGAAAACAAAAACAAAACACCUUACAUUCAGAGGCAAAUGAUGUUGCUUAGAAGGAGAAAUGUUCAUGAGGUUGGCCAAAUCUGGAGAGCAAAAUUACUUGCUCUUUUUUAAAAAAAAUGUUAUUAAUUUAAUUUGCUUUAACAAAUUUUUAAUGUUUAUUUUUGAGAGAGAGAGUCAGAGACAGAGACAGAGCAUGAGUGGGGGAGGGGCAGAGAGAGA